RNAcentral lists this ribosomal RNA (476 nucleotides) under uncultured bacterium. Its description in RNAcentral is "bacterial SSU rRNA". It matches the Rfam family "Bacterial small subunit ribosomal RNA", at positions 917 to 1382 of the family's 1533-position model. The record is from RNAcentral.
GGGCUCACACAAGCGGUGGAGCAUGUGGCUUAAUUCGAAGCAACGCGAAGAACCUUACCCGGGUUUGACAUGCUGGGAUGCUUCUGGGCGAUGAGUCGAGAAGUUACCUUUCGGGGUGAAACCAGCACAGGUGUUGCACGGCUGUCGUCAGCUCGUGCUGUGAAGUGUCGGGUUAAGUCCCUUAACGAGCGAAACCCUUGUCGCUAGUUACUAGCGGGUAAAGCCGUGGACUCUAGCGAGACUGCCGGCGUUAAGCCGGAGGAAGGCGGGGACGACGUCAAGUCAUCGUGGCCCUUAUGCCCGGGGAUGCACACGUGCUACAAUGACCACUACAGAGGGCUGCAAGACCGCAAGGUGGAGCAAAUCCCAAAAAAGUGGCCCCAGUUCGGAUUGGAGGCUGCAAUUCGCCUCCAUGAAGUUGGAAUCGCUAGUAAUCGCGCAUCAGCUACGGCGCGGUGAAUGUGUUCCUGAGCCUU